UUCCGGUUGGUUGAAAAAGUGCUUCCGGUGUCGCGCGGGGCCCUAGCUUUUGACUGUCGGCUUGUUCCCGCGAACGGUCGCUGAGAGGGACCCAAGGCUGAACGCUUGCUGUCUACAUCCAGAAGUUGAAGGUUUAUUUUGAACAUAUGUUACAAAUAUGGCUGUGUCUCUUAUUAUAAAAUGGGGUGGGCAGGAAUUUUUGAUAACCACCUUGUCAGAAGAAGACACAGUACUGGAUCUCAAGCAGUCUCUCAAAGGACUUACGGGAGUGUUACCCGAGCGCCAAAAGCUUCUUGGGCUUAAAGUGAAAGGCAAACCAGCAGAAAAUGACGUCAAGCUUGGUUCAUUAAAACUGAAACCUAAUACUAAAAUCAUGAUGAUGGGGACUCGUGAGGAAAGCUUGGAAGAUGUCCUUGGGCCACCCCCUGAUAAUGAAGAUGUAGUUAAUGAUUUUGAUAUUGAAGAGGAGGUUGUUGAGGUAGAAAACAGGGAAGAGAAUCUGUUAAAAAUCUCCCGCAGAGUUAAGGAGUACAAAGUGGAAAUAUUGAAUCCUCCACGGGAAGGGAAGAAAUUGUUGGUCCUAGAUGUUGAUUACACACUGUUUGAUCACAGGUCAUGUGCAGAAACUGGGAUUGAGCUGAUGAGGCCAUACCUUCACGAGUUCCUGACAUCUGCAUAUGAAGACUAUGAUAUUGUGAUCUGGUCUGCUACUAACAUGAAGUGGAUUGAAGCUAAAAUGAAAGAGCUGGGAGUGAGCACCAAUGCCAACUACAAGAUUGCCUUCAUGUUGGAUAGUGCUGCCAUGAUAACUGUGCACACUCCAAGAAGAGGAUUAAUUGAUGUGAAACCUCUAGGGGUCAUAUGGGGCAAAUUUUCAGAGUUUUACAGCAAGAAAAAUACUAUUAUGUUUGAUGACAUUGGACGGAAUUUUCUGAUGAACCCACAAAAUGGACUAAAGGUUUUUACAGCACAGUCUUACACAUAUCUGCACAGAAAUAAAGCCCUUCAUGAAAGCACAUUUAAACAGAGAUAAAGAUAAGGAACUUUUUAAACUUACUCAGUAUCUCAAGGAAAUAGCAAAAUUAGAUGACUUUUUGGAAUUGAACCACAAACACUGGGAAAGGUACCUUUCAAAGAAGCAAGGCCAGUAGCUUUAAUUUGUGGCACUGAAACCAGAUGGAACUUAGAGACCCUCUGACCUUUCCUCCUGUGUAAGCUAGAAUAAAGUAGUGCUGGACACUGACUUAACAACCAGAAUGACUGCUUAUACCUGGUCUUCCUUUUGGUUUGCUAUAGGUCUCUAUGUAUAUCUCUCUGUCUUCUGAAGGUCACUGCGAACAACAGAAAGUAAAACUGGUUGCAUUUAUCUCUGGUAUUACCAUUUAAAUCAAUGCCACUUGUUCUGCUAUUGUAGUAUUCUCCAAAUUAUAAAGACCAUGUUGCUUUGAAGUAGGGGAAGAAGCAUAGUUUCAGACCAAAAAAAACCCCAGCUCAGACCCAGAAGUUUUAUUGUGGAGACAGUAUUGGCAUCUUCCGUGAUUAAAACAGUUUCCCUUCCCUGUUAAGGUAUUUAAGUCUAUGAAGUAUAAACUGUCUAAUUAUGUAUUAGUCUGUCAAGUGUUUCUUUUGUGCAAGACAGUUUUAAGGGUGCAAUGCACCACUAGAGGGCAAAGAUGCUUUCAUGUGUAGAACUCAGUGAUAAAACUGUGAUGAGAAGACAGGAAAAGUUUUUUUUUUAAAAAAAACAUUCAUGCUUGGUUGGAAAGCAUUUCUUUUCUUCUUAACAAAAAUAUUUCUAACCAUAGGAAAGGUUGAAUCAGAAGAGAGCCAAAGGCUAGCUCUUUACUGCAUGAGCAGUAGUUGUGUCUUGUUAGGAUACAAGCUCUCUUGAUAGCAGUCACCGUUGUUCUAAAGUAUCACUUAACACGUGCAGCUUCAACCUCCAGUAUGGAGUUGUAAUGUGCACAGUGUCUUGCAUUGCCGACAGUCCCUCUUCAUGCCGCUCAUGUAUUUGAAAACAGAAUUCUUCUUUCAAAUGAAGAUAGCAUAUAUUGUUCUUAUGGAGCUAUAGCAGGUGCACUAAUAAUAAUAAUAAUAAUAAUAAUAAUAAUAAUAAUAAUAAUAAU
Molecule: RNA transcript, 2126 nt
Organism: Sceloporus undulatus (fence lizard)
Lineage: Eukaryota; Metazoa; Chordata; Lepidosauria; Squamata; Phrynosomatidae
Gene: UBLCP1
Gene name: ubiquitin like domain containing CTD phosphatase 1
Exons: 13
Source: RefSeq, a predicted model, not a curated record